RNAcentral lists this transfer RNA (66 nucleotides) under Schistura sikmaiensis. RNAcentral's name for it is "tRNA-Cys". Lineage: Eukaryota; Metazoa; Chordata; Actinopteri; Cypriniformes; Nemacheilidae. The record is from RNAcentral.
AAGCCCCGGCAGACGUUAGUCUGCGUCUUUGGAUUUGCAAUCCAAUAUGUACUCCACCACGGGGCU